Molecule: ribosomal RNA, 509 nt
Filed under: uncultured bacterium
Lineage: Bacteria
Description: bacterial SSU rRNA
Rfam family: Bacterial small subunit ribosomal RNA
Source: RNAcentral
CUGGCUCAGGAUGAACGCUAGCUACAGGCUUAACACAUGCAAGCGAGGGGCAGCAUUGGGAUAGCUUGCUAUUCAGAUGGCGACCGGCGCACGGGUGAGUAACGCGUAUCCAACCUUCCUGCCAGUAGGGAACAGCCCGGCGAAAGUCGGAUUAAUGCCCUAUGUUCUUCAAUGCGGACAUCUAAGUUGAAGGAAAGAUUCAUCGCUGGCAGAUGGGGAUGCGUCCGAUUAGCUUGCCGGCGGGGUAACGGCCCACCGGGGCGACGAUCGGUAGGGGUUCUGAGAGGAAGGUCCCCCACACUGGUACUGAGACACGGACCAGACUCCUACGGGAGGCAGCAGUGAGGAAUAUUGGUCAAUGGGCGUAAGCCUGAACCAGCCAAGUAGCGUGCAAGGAUGACGGCCCUACGGGUUGUAAACUGCUUUUAUGCGGGGAUAAAGUGCGGCACGUGUGCCGCUUUGCAGGUACCGCAUGAAUAAGGACCGGCUAAUUCCGUGCCAGCAGCCGC